Molecule: non-coding RNA, 70 nt
Organism: Phrynosoma platyrhinos (Desert horned lizard)
Lineage: Eukaryota; Metazoa; Chordata; Lepidosauria; Squamata; Phrynosomatidae
Source: the annotation of a GenBank genome assembly
AGCCAGGGUGUAGUGGUUUGAGUAUUGGACUAGGACUCUGGAGACCAGGGUUUGAAUCCCUGUUUAGCUA